UGUUAGAUUCAUACAUAUCAAUGCUUUAUUUUUUUAGAUUAAGUUUAAUUUAUUGUUUGUAUUUUCUAAUUAUUUAUAUGCUUUUCUUAUCUUCCUUAACUUAAAAUUCUGCAAUGAUAGAUGGUUAAUUAUCUUAUUCGUUUUGCGUGGGAAUGUGUACCAUGUUAAUUUCUGUCGCUUAGGAAAUUCAGUAUAUUAUUAUUAUUAUUAUUAUUAUUAUUAUUAUUAUUAUUAUUAUUAUUAUUCAGAACCAUUGUCUUAUUAUGCUAAUCAGCUUGAGGUCUUUGAGCAUAGUUUUCACUAAUCAUGUGUACUGCUUAACAAGAAAUAAAUCUGAUGGUUCAAUUCCGUGCAAAAUUUAUUGCAACAGAAAAAACUAACUUUUCCUAACUAACAUUAACAAACUCAAUUAACAUAAUUCAAGUAUACAACUGCACAAUUCAAUUAGCACAUGUUGAAUUCUGAUGAAAUGUAUUAGAAGAGUGGUUUGCUGAAUCACUUGAAUUUCAUGAGGCAAAGUUGGAACAUAACAUGCAAGAAUUUCAAUGUUCUCUAAACUGUAAUGUCAUUUCAGGACAUUUGUUUCUGAAGAUGAGUACAGAAAGCAAGACAGUGAAAGCAGAGAAUGAUUUUAAACUAGUUGUGAACUACUCUAAGCACUGUGUUUGGAAAGACCUGAAGAAAGAUCCAUCAGGUGCAGGUGCAAAUGCAGCUUCUAGAGUAAACAUGUCACUAUCUGCCCUUGACCCUUUAUCUGAGAUAGUUUGGUCUCCAAACACAGGUUUCAGCUUAAAUUGUGUUGAUUCAAGUUUCGCUAACAGAAAUAGCAAUCUUUACCAAGAUGUUAGACCAAGCAGCAUGGUCUUUGCUCUUCUACAUGGUGGAAUUUCUAACACUGACUUACCUAUAGAUGAUGUUUUUGUAAAUCCUAUAACGGUUAUAUGCGCGAAAAGCGACGUUACUUCGGCCGAUGCUCCUUCUAGAGUCAUCACUCCAGAAUGUCAAGCACCUAAGGAGAAUGAUACAGAUGAGGUUGACGAAAGGCCUGUUGACAAGUUCUUAACUCAAGAUGAUAAUAAACCAAACCCAAGCAUGGAAGAAAAUCCCUCUCCAAGAAAACUUUGCAAUGGUGGAAUGGGUCUUGCUUCUAAAGCUCCAAUUGAGAAACUUGAAUCAACAGCAGAUAAUGAUUUACAAACAUUGAAUAAUUGCGCAGCAUUGUUUCUAACAGGUAAAAAGAGAUGCAAACUUCAACAAGAGUUAACAACUGGGGGUAAAAGAGUCAAGAAGCAAACUCAAGAGAGUUCAUUUUCGAGAUCCAUGAAAAUUCCAGAAACUUCAGAUCCCAGAUCCAGAACCAGGCAGAAUAGCUCAUUCAUGAACUUGGUUUCAAACAUGAUGAAAGGAUUCUCACAAUCAGCUGCAAAUCCUGAUCACCAUCUUCUCUGGGAUCAUGAUCAGAUUCAGAAUCAUAAUCCUGAGCCGAAAAGUACAGGACUCAAAUCCAAUUUCAAGUGCAUGUCUUGUCCCAUAAAAUCUCCUCGAGGCCUAGAUGUUACUCCAAUAUCAUGUUGUGCAGAGAACAAUAACAGUCUUUACAAACAGUAUUUGCAAUCAAAAGAGUUUGAGGUAAAGAUUAGGCCUGUGAAUUUUCACAGCAGCCAUGAAAACAGGACAAAUAAAGAAGGAAAAGCAAUAAAUUCAUUUCCUACCAUACAGGAUCAGAAUAACAAUGAGAGUGCUGAAUCCUACGCACCUUCGGAGAGGAAGGUAACAGAUAAUUUCUUGAACAAAAUUGAUACUUUUGGAGGUGUAUGGAUGAAUCGAUUCUUGCCAAAAUCAAGUGCUCAAUUGAUAACUUUUGAUAACUCUGUACUUCCAAAUUCACAUAAACACUUUUCUCAUCUAAAAGAAACCAAAGAACAAUGUGUUGAUGAUGACCACUUCCUCAAGAAAGAGGCUUCCGUUGAUGACACACCAAAGGUUGGGUUCAAUCCCAUUACACCUUUCCCUGGAUUCAAAGAUUCAGAACCAAUGGCGGCCAUGUUCGCGAGGAGAUUAGGCGCAAUCAGACACAUAACAAGAGACGCCACAUAUAACUUGCCACACAGGCAUCAAAAUUAACACUAAUGUUUGGAGCUGCAAGUAAUUGGCACUGUCAACUCCUUUGAGAAGGUUUCAGAAAACCGCACCAGCAAAAGAUCCAAUCACUGACAACACUUGAUUCAUCUUCUUUCUGCAUCCUUAUCCUGAGGGAAAAGCAGGCCAAAAUUUCAAUAGUCCAAAUGGAAUAAAAAGCAAUUAGCAAGGAUGAUUGGGCUGAAAGCAAAAAUCAGAAGCCCAAGAAAAAGCAAAAGAUAGAAGCCAAAGAAAUCAGAUGGGCCAAACGGGUUCCAUGAACCAAACCGAUCCAAGCCCGAAAUUGAUUUUCAAUUUUCCACCAUCUUUUGCUUAACCAAAAGCAACGUUCCUCUCCUCUCUAAUCAAGUCACAUCAAGACUUCAGAAAAGUAAGAAAGAGAAAGAGAUAAAGCUUCCUCCCUAAGCUAGUAACCAAAGAAGCAAGAGAGAGAGAAAUUUAAGCUUGAAGCACAGAAAGCUAAAACAGAAAAUCCAAACCAAAUCAAGCUUUGGUUAAAGGUAAUCCAUCUCAUCUUGCAUGCAUCAGAUCUUCUUCUCUUCUUCCCAACUCUCUGCUCUAUCCAAAAAUGGCAUUUAAGGGAAAGUUGUGCUCUGCCCUAUUCUGCUUCACAUCUACGGUCACAAGUGAUACUUGGGGACCAAGUAGUUUUUCAAUGGCUAAGAUCAAGUUGACCAUGAGAAGAUUUCCAUGGUUGCUGCUUUGUGGCUUUCAGCCAAGAUGAGAAAGUCAGAGGGAAAGAUUCUACUCUGAGGAUUAAAGAGGAAAAGUGAACAUGUGGGUUGGUAAAGCUCAAGGCUCAAGGUGUUGACCUUGAAAGAAGAACCAAGCAACAUACAAGGAGAUAAAAAGAAGCUUGCUGUUCAUUCAGAGGCAAGGAGAGAAAAGCAGAGUUUGUGAGUUGUGUUUUGUAAAGUUCCUCUACUUGGAUAAUGCUCUCUUUCAAAGAAGCAUUCGGCCAACACUGAAGAACUGUAUCUGAGGUUUGCAAAUCUGGUUUUGCAAAUAGCAAAGAGGUUGCUGAUGAAGUCAAUCUCCUUCAUGUUUUACUGAUUGUAAUGUACUUUUCCAAGUUUAUCUUUCUGUAAUUUCUUGUGAGAAAAGGCAUUGUGAGAAAGUUCAAGUAAAAGCCAUGAGUAGAAAAAGGCUGAGUGAUACAUUUGAGAGAAAAGCCUAGAGUUAUUUUUCUGAUUUCUUUAGGUUGGAUAAGUGUUUUGUAUCUUGUACCUGUUUGGUAUCCCUUUCUUAGUUGGGUUAGCACUAAGAGUGAAUAGUUAGGAGUUAGCAUAGCCAAUGUCAAGUUAGGAUAGAACUUGAGUGUGAAAUUGGUGUAUGUAAUUCUGUAAACUAUAGUGAAAUUCUUCCAUAAUUGUGGAGGAGACUAGAUGUAGGUUGCAUGUCACAAGGCAACCGAACCAGGAUACAUGCUGGUGUUCACUUUUCUCUUUUCUGCUGAGUUCUGUUUUCUGAUAUUCAUGAGACAAAAAUAAAUUGUCUCAUAAAUUUCUGCUGCUGAGUUCAAACAGAAUCAGAAUUGUAAUUUUGUUUAAAAAGGCCAUAAUAGCAACUUAAAAAGAAAGGCAUAGAUUCAACCCCUAUUCUCUAAGCCUACCACAACCUUCAAUUGGUAUCAAGAGCUAAGGUCUCAAGAAUCAAGCUUAACCGCUUGGAGCAAAGAUCCAAUGGCGAACAACUUGGGCACAACCACAAUUGCUUACACCCUCACUGAAGGCCAGUCAAACAACCGGCCACCUUUCUUCAACGGGAAGAACUAUUCCUACUGGAAAGAAAGGAUAAGGAUCUUCAUCCAAUCCAUUGACUACAACAUAUGGAAGAUCGUUGUGAGUGGUCCCAAGAUCCUAACAAAAAUAAGUGCUGAUGGAGUGGUGACUCCAAAAGAAGAAGCUGAAUGGAAUGAAUAUGACAAGAAGAAGAUAGAGCUGAACGCUAAAGUAAUCAACCUUCUUCAUUGUGCUAUCAGCUUUGAAGAAUACCGGAAGAUGUCUAGAUGCAAGACAGCCAAAGAAAUCUGGGAAAAACUCCAGGUUACACACGAAGGCACCAAACAAGUAAAAGAAACGAGGAUUGAUAUGUUGCGAAAAGAGUACGAGAUGUUUAGCAUGAAGGAUGGAGAAAGCAUUGAUGAAGCAUUUGAGAGAUUCUCAAUCAUAAUCAACAACCUUGAUGCUAUGGGUACAAACUAUACAGAACAAACCUAGGUGAGAAAACUCCUUAGAAGCCUCACAAAAGAAUGGGAAAACACUGCCACUGUCCUAACUGAGAGUAACAACAUAAGUCCCAUAACCUAUGAUGAGCUGAGAGGA
Arachis stenosperma is the source of this 4463-nucleotide RNA transcript. RefSeq lists it as uncharacterized. Lineage: Eukaryota; Viridiplantae; Streptophyta; Magnoliopsida; Fabales; Fabaceae. The transcript is spliced from 4 exons. The record is from RefSeq and is a predicted model, not a curated record.